UGCUUUAAACACAUGUGAUCUUCUUUUGACUUGGGCGCUUAAGCUUCAACGGCUACAUGAGGAGUCUUCUAGGUCUUCUAGAAGAGCUUAAGGUGAAGAAGAGUUUAUAUGGGCUUCUCUCAUUGUCAUGUUGUACGGAUGGGCUUCUCUUCGUCCGUACGGUCGUCUAGGUUAACUUGCGGAAGGGGUUUCCUUCAUUAGGUUCAAUACUCCCCCUCAAGCUUAACCGGAGAUGAGUCGAGAUUAAGCUUGGAACCAAAUUCAACCACCUCAUUAAAAACCUUAGUGUAGAAAAACCUCUUGGGAUAAAACUACACACAAGGGAAAAAGAGUAUGGGAUAUUUGAUAAGAGGAUCAUGGCCGGGUUAGAUCAACUAGGCCAAGUU
This 386-nucleotide small RNA is filed under the name Arabidopsis thaliana (thale cress). RNAcentral's name for it is "ATSL087170". Lineage: Eukaryota; Viridiplantae; Streptophyta; Magnoliopsida; Brassicales; Brassicaceae. The record is from RNAcentral.